Long non-coding RNA from Oncorhynchus tshawytscha (Chinook salmon), 1306 nucleotides. RefSeq lists it as uncharacterized. The record is from RefSeq and is a predicted model, not a curated record. The transcript is spliced from 2 exons. NCBI's taxonomy places the organism in Eukaryota, Metazoa, Chordata, Actinopteri, Salmoniformes, Salmonidae.
AAAAACGAUUUUCUCUGUCACACACUCACAACACACGUGCCUGGCUGCAAAAGUGCAUUGUGAGGGACUUCGGCAGCAGGCGCUCGGCUCGUGCACAGCCAACAGCAAUUUCAGCAAAUGACAAAUUGUUGGCUGACUGCAGCAGCAGUAGUACGGGUUCAACGAGCCAAACCCAAUGAAUAUAGUUGGUCACGAAUGUUUGAUCUUGAACAGAACUUACAACAUCGAUCAACAUGCUUCAAUGAAACAUGUACAGAAAAGAGUGGGAGUCUGUACCUUAACAAAUGUCAAAUCAUAUUUUUUUGCAGAGAUGGCCAGUCAAUUUGAGUAACGUUAUUGUGUAGCCAACGUAAUGACGCAGUUUUACGUUAUCACGCAAUGACGUGACAACGUCAUUUAGCAACUUUUAGCAAGUCGUCAACCUGCUUCUAGCUACUUACCCUGAAAUUUAUUUAGCAACACGCUGCUCAUUGAGAAGAGUAAGAACGAUACGUGCUUCACGUCAGAGUCUCGAAUAACACCAGAAAGUCUCUAGUCUCUUUUUUGAAAAUGUGCGCUAGAGGGGUCUGAAUACUCGCUAAAUAUAGCGACAACGUCGCUAAGUUGGCAACACUGGCGGAGGACCGAAAGGCGAACACGUGCUACACCAGCAGAGAGAUGAGUUCUAGUGAUGACGUGAGGUUCAACAUGGACAACAAGCAAAUGGACCAGUUUGGCGGAAUGGGAGAAAAAGCGCUACAGAAACAUGAAGAGGAACCACUUGGCCAUAGGUACUAUAUAUCUCUGAGGCAUUGAUGAAGGAUAAUGCUCUCUGUUGUUCCUCAGUGGCCUGUUUCAGGACAUUAGCCUCAGAUAGAAAUGUGUUGUGUAGAACAGAUAUAAUUGUCUGUUUGGUUGAUCAGGGAAUCAGGACCUCUCUAUUCGUUAUAUUUAUAUGUGGAACGUUCGGAAAUCGGGACCUCUCUAUUCGUUAUAUUUCUAUGUGGAACGUUCAGAUUGUGCCACCUCUGAAUACACCCCAGUUCUGUAGCCGCUGGUCCCUGUAUUUAUGAUGCAUGGCCGGGAGGGGAAGGAGAGAGAGAGUAGAUCGCCCCCACAAGGACCUAGUGACACAGUGGAGGAAGAAUGGACCCCUCACCUGGAGAGAAAAUACCAGGGUAAAACUCAAAGGAGAAGGGAGAAUAAGUCCAGAACACCUUCUACAGCCUCCACAUCUAAACCCCCUCAGUCCAGAACACCUACAGCCUCCACAUCUAAACCCCCUCAGUCCAGAACACCUACAGCCUCCACAUCUAAACCCCCUCAG